UUGGCUUAAAAUUGAAUGUAUUUGGCUGAAACAUUUUCAGCCUAUUUUCUUCUCCAAAGAAGAGAUAUUCAUCCUUGUUGGCGAAUAAUCCUUUCCUCAUUCCUGCAAAUUUGAUGCACGAGAAAAUAUGUCAGAUUUCCAUCUUCUUUUUGGACAGUAUGAGCCCAUUUUGUUCUACCUUUCGAAAGAACACUUCAAGAUGGGCUAUAUGCUCUUUGUAAGAUUUUGAGAAUACUAACAAAUCAUCUACGUAUACUAAUAUAAAUGCUUGAUUCUCAUUAAAUAUAUUUUGCAUCUUUCUUUGAAAAAGUGCAGGUGCAUUCUUUAGGCCUAAUGGCAUUACUAGCCAUUCAUAAUGGCCUUGUGGACAAGUAAAUGCUGUCCAGGGAAUAGAUUCUUCAGCCAUUUUUACUUGCCAAAAUCCUGCCUUUAAGUCGAAUUUAGAGAAAUAUUUACUUCCUUGUAUUCUGUUAAUCCAUUCCUGUUUAUUAGGUAUGUUGUAUGCAUUGUCAACUGUAUUAUCAUUAAGCCUUUUAAAAUUAAUUACCAUUCUAGAUUUACCUCUAACUUCUUCAGCAUGAUUUCUAACUAUAAAAGCAGCAGAUCGAUGAGGGCUUCUGCUUUCUCUUAUAGCUUUUAACUUUAAUAACUCUUCAAUAUGCAUUUUGAAUUCUUCGAUAUCUUUAGGAGUUGCUUCUAUUGGUCCUGACUUAAUUAUAUAAUCUGGAUUUAUGAUAUUUAUUUUGCAAACUAUAGAGUUCUUAUCCCAAUGUUUCAUUGGUAUUUCUCCAAUAAUUUGUAUACUUUCUAGUCUUUGCACAAUCUUAUCUAUAUCCUUUUUGGAUUUUAUAUCUCUAUACCAGUUUGGAGAGAAUGAUUGCAACCCAAUGCAUUCAGUACAUGUAUUUUCUAUAUGAUAUUCUUCUAUGGUCUCACUAAGUUCUUCGUCUUUACAAAAUUCAAGGGAAUCUGGACUUGUGCUAUAUUCAUCAUCUACAUUAGAUAUUUCUACAUUUUGCAAGGACUUUCUUUGUUUUCGCACUUCAGAUAUGUAUGGAACAUUAUCUUGAUAAGGAAUAAAUGUUACCCCCUCUUCAUGUAUGAUUGUGGUUUGUAAAGAUUGUUGUAAAAAUCUUAACCCUAUUAUCAUGUCAUCAUUUAUUA
Molecule: long non-coding RNA, 1164 nt
Organism: Triticum aestivum (bread wheat)
Lineage: Eukaryota; Viridiplantae; Streptophyta; Magnoliopsida; Poales; Poaceae
Exons: 2
Source: RefSeq, a predicted model, not a curated record